Molecule: ribosomal RNA, 468 nt
Filed under: uncultured bacterium
Lineage: Bacteria
Description: partial 16S ribosomal RNA
Rfam family: Bacterial small subunit ribosomal RNA
Source: RNAcentral
GACGAACGCUGGCGGCGUGCUUAACACAUGCAAGUCGAACGGAAAGGCCCUGCUUUUGUGGGGUGCUCGAGUGGCGAACGGGUGAGUAACACGUGAGUAACCUGCCCUUGACUUUGGGAUAACUUCAGGAAACUGGGGCUAAUACCGGAUAGGAGCUCCUGCUGCAUGGUGGGGGUUGGAAAGUUUCGGCGGUUGGGGAUGGACUCGCGGCUUAUCAGCUUGUUGGUGGGGUAGUGGCUUACCAAGGCUUUGACGGGUAGCCGGCCUGAGAGGGUGGCCGGCCACAUUGGGACUGGGGUACCGCCCAGACUCCUACGGGAGGCAGCAGUGGGGAAUAUUGCACAAUGGGCGGAAGCCUGAUGCAGCAACGCCGCGUGCGGGAUGACGGCCUUCGGGUUGUAAACCGCUUUCGCCUGUGACGAAGCGUGAGUGACGGUAAUGGGUAAAGAAGCACCGGCUAACUACGUG